RNAcentral lists this ribosomal RNA (473 nucleotides) under uncultured bacterium. RNAcentral describes it as "bacterial SSU rRNA". It matches the Rfam family "Bacterial small subunit ribosomal RNA", at positions 30 to 507 of the family's 1533-position model. The record is from RNAcentral.
AUUGAACGCUGGCGGCAUGCCUUACACAUGCAAGUCGAACGGUAACGGGCCUUCGGGUGCCGACGAGUGGCGAACGGGUGAGUAAUGUAUCGGAACGUACCUUUCAGUGGGGGAUAACGUAGCGAAAGUUACGCUAAUACCGCAUAUUCUGUGAGCAGGAAAGCAGGGGAUCGCAAGACCUUGCGCUGAUUGAGCGGCCGAUAUCAGAUUAGCUAGUUGGUGAGGUAAAGGCUCACCAAGGCGACGAUCUGUAGCGGGUCUGAGAGGAUGGUCCCCCACACUGGUACUGAGACACGGACCAGACUCCUACGGGAGGCAGCAGUGAGGAAUAUUGGUCAAUGGGCGGAAGCCUGAACCAGCCAUGCCGCGUGCAGGAAGGAGGCCCUACGGGUUGUAAACUGCUUUUACCCGGGAAGAAACCGCCCCUGUGGGGGCGUUGCCGGUACCGGGGAAAAGGAUCGGCUAACUCCGUG